Molecule: long non-coding RNA, 3059 nt
Organism: Syngnathus typhle (broad-nosed pipefish)
Lineage: Eukaryota; Metazoa; Chordata; Actinopteri; Syngnathiformes; Syngnathidae
Exons: 10
Source: RefSeq, a predicted model, not a curated record
AAGUUUCCUGGGAAGUCCGGCUGCCUUAGCGCCCGCAGUCAGUUCCAUCCAACAUGGCAGUGUCAGGACGAGUCCAUUCUUGUGGAAUGGGGGUUACGGCUUCCUACGGCUGCGUCCCACGCACUUCAAAAUAAACCAGUGUGGUACGGUCCCGUCCGCCCCUGGCUUUUAUAACAGGAAUGUGUGCAGUUCAGAUUGGGAGGAGGUAAGACACAAGGUGCACGUUGCCAGCAUAAUAAAAAGAGUGUGAGCUCCUUCAGAAACUCAAAUUAAUGCAAAUCUAAAAGCACCUUUAAAGCACCCGAUUAAAAUUUUAAUCAUGAGAUAAGAUUGUGCUGCUUAAUGCACUCAGAAAAGAGCACUGUAAGGAUUCAUUCCCUCUGGAUUUGAGUCUUAAUUUUCUGAAAGCUGCUAGGAUGAUUCAUCACAAUGCACUAAAUAUAGUCCAUAAUACAUUUAAGUCAAAUUAAGACCGCUCUAGUUACUUUCGGCACCUUCAGGGGGUUGAGGCAUAUAUAUUUAGUCUAAUGUUCCCACGUCAUCCCCAAGAUAUUAUAUAUUUGCAUCAUCUUCCACUUUUUAAAAUGGGUUAUUAUUUCCCCUCCAAAUGAAAUUGCCUAAUAGCCAUUUAUGACUAUUUGCUUGCAUGACUCAUGCUUAUUUCAAUGGCAAGCCUGAGGAUAUUUCUUGCAACAUGCUCAGUCAGGUUCAUCAAUGAGGUGCUACGCUUAAUGGCGCUGUAGUGAGAAUAAAAGAAAUUCCUCUCCGGAUAUAAAACGUCGAUACAACCUUGAGACCAGAUAAAUAAAAAAGAAACAACUGAAAUGAUGUGGUUGCAUAAGUGCGCACACCCAUUUGAACAAGGGUGUGUAGACUUUUUCUCACCUACCGGAUUUUUCUUUAUUUUUAUUUCUGAUUCACUUUAACAGCGUUAACAAAAAAAUGUGCCGGUAUUCUUCCUCGUGGUCUUUGGUCAACCCAAUUUCACUACACUGCACUGCUUGACCAACUUGAAAAACCUGACUGACAAGUGAAAGAAAAAGAAAAACGCCGGAAAUGCUUCAUCGCUCUACCUGGUUUGAUUUUUGAGAUUGCCACACAGAGAGAACACGACUGUCUUCACUUCCCUUUCGAUGGGAGUUCUGAAACAUCUCGUGCUCUGCUUGUGUCGGCUUUCAUCACCAAAUACCUCGAAGGAAUAAUAUUCUGAAUUGAAUCAUCACGAGCGAGAAAGACAGGAAUGGAGAACAAGAGAGACAACGGCAGAUAACGAGAGCGAGAGGGAGGAGUGUUCACCAUAUCUGCCUCCAACUAUCCUUCUAAUCUUAAAACACCCCUCAGAAAUCUGCUGGAUCAAAAGCCCAACUCAACCAUCAUCCAUCUGCCAGCCAGGGUGUGUCUGACAAUAGGCUGCUUCAAAUGGGUCAACUCAAAUGACCUCUUUUGACUGCGGACUCUCAAUAAAAUGUGCAAUGGAUGUUUUUAUGUUUGUUUUUUGAGGUGUGACGCUUAUGAAAAAUAAAGCCGAAAGCAACAAUGAAGACUGUAAAGAUUGAAGGAAUGUCAGAGCUCGGGUGGGUACAACAGUCGCCCUCAGCGGGAGCCAGCAAUUCUCCAUGUGGGAUAAUGUCCGUCUACACUCCUCUGGAGAUUCAGCAGAAUUCACCGGUGGUGUGCUUGGACGAAAUAAAAAAAAAGGAAGUGUCACAGCUGUAGUCAAGAUGUGUCUCGUGUGACGCAUUCUGGCCGCCAGUGAAAAGCCUGACCAGAAGCAAGACCAGACAACCAGCCAUACUGCAUCUUCCUACCUCGUUGGCGCCCUUGCAAUAUGCAGUUUCCGUCACAUAUGUUUGGGCUGAUUGUUCUCCACGUGCCACCGCUCUCGACACAAAGAUCCAAUUACUGACCGGCGUCCGUCUGAUGGCGAAGCCGCACUCCAGAACAAAUCCAAGCUCGGCUGCAGUUGCACCGUUGCUUUGAUGAAGUCCAUCCUCUUCAGAAGUCUGCUGUUUUCCUGAAAACGACGUCACGUUAUGCACGACCCACCAAAUAAGAUGAAGCUGAGACUUGCAGCUCUGUUGAGGCGAGCCAGGUCAACAUGUCGUCGUCCAGAUCAAUCAGGCCUUGUUCGCCAUUCGGUGGCUGGUGUUUGGGGCAACUGCUGCUGAUGUGCUCUACUGUCUGGACUGGGUGCCCACACUCACAGGAGGCACUAUCUGCGAGUCCCCACCUCUUCAUUGCAGCUCCAUAGCGAUCAACGCCGGUCCUCAGGCGCUUGAGGGUUGUCCACUGUUUCCGGGGCAAGUCCUGGCCAGAGACGUCUGUGGGGUCAUUGAUGUAAUGGUGCAGCCUAGAUGGUUCUGCUGACUUCCACUGUUCUCUCCAUAUGGUCUUGACCCAGGUAGCCUUGGAAGUGUCAGCUGAUGUUGUGCUGAGCAGCUCAUGGGCUUGGAUGGCAAAGGGGCGUCGUGACUUUAGGCGCACGCGUCGUGGUGUCUCUGUGACGAUCUUAUGGAGGAGGUGGGAUUCACUGGUCUGUGCCUUUCGGGAGAGGGCCAGCGUGGCUGCUUCUCGUCUGAUGUCACUUAUGAUCCCGAAGGUGAAGCUCUUGAUAUCUGUGAUAUCUGAUAUAUCUGUGUUGUAUUAUUGUACAGCAGUGCUUCUCAAUUAUUUUCUGUGAUGCCCCCCCAGGGAGAAGAAAACAUUUUGCGCCCCCCCCCCCCUCCAUGUUAUUAACCUUAGAGAAAACGAAAAAUAAAUAAAAAAGUUCAAUUUUAUAAAUAUUAUAUUAGAUGAUUAUCUGUUCAAUAAUUUUGUGUGCUAGUGUUGGCUCGUGAAUGAACGAUUCGUUCAAAAGACCGAAUCUUGUGAAUCAGUGAAGUGAUUCGUUCUUUUUUCAGUUAUGACUUCAACCAGUAGGUGUCGGUAAUGCGCAUUGAUUGAUUUUAUAACACUUAAGAUAACGUGUGUGCAUAUAUACGCCUAAAUAUUAUCCAAUAUAUCUACUGCAAUUUCACAUUAGAUUGCUGGUUUGAAAUUUACUUUUUUUAUUAUUAUUU